This 516-nucleotide long non-coding RNA is filed under the name Homo sapiens (human). RNAcentral's name for it is "non-protein coding lnc-TNFAIP3-3:2". The record is from RNAcentral. Lineage: Eukaryota; Metazoa; Chordata; Mammalia; Primates; Hominidae.
UUUUCCUCUUCCUUGGAUUCCAGGAGAUAUGUUAAUAUUCUUUUAAUAAAUGCCUUUUUUGUGUAGAAAUGCUUGUUUGGUUUCUGAUAGUUGUAACCUAAAAAAUCUUUAGUAAGCCAUUGGUCUGCUGUGGGGAGCGUCGAGAUGAAACUGGAACGUUGUUUGAACCUAGAUCAUAAAGUGACUCCAACAUCUUCAUACCAGGGAGAGGAGGAAGCUGUGCUGUGAAGGAUCCUUUUUCAUCAUGAUUAUUGCAUCCACAGAAGCAGUGAUAAAUUCUAACAGAUAAUGCAACUCAGUCUACUUGGAUGUUCACACCUGAGACUGGAGAAGACCUGCUGCCUUCUGCAGAGCCAAACAUUCCUCACAUGCUCCUCCACAAUGCUCCUUACACUGGUCUACCUAAAGAAAACCUCUACAGACAAAGGAGAUGAGCCCAGCAUGGCUUGUUUACAGUGAAUCUAAGCAGAUUCCUCAUCUGUUCUGGGAUACGUGCGUCGAGAUUGCCAGACUGUG